RNAcentral lists this unclassified non-coding RNA (312 nucleotides) under plant metagenome. RNAcentral describes it as "partial contains 5.8S ribosomal RNA, internal transcribed spacer 2, and large subunit ribosomal RNA". The stretch from base 1 to 105 matches the Rfam family "5.8S ribosomal RNA", at positions 50 to 154 of the family's 154-position model. The record is from RNAcentral.
GAAACGCGAUAGUUAAUGUGAAUUGCAGAAUUCCGUGAAUCAUCGAAUCUUUGAACGCACAUUGCGCCCUCUGGCAUUCCGGGGGGCAUGCCUGUCCGAGCGUCAUUACGCACCCUCAAGCCCGGCUUGUGUGAUGGGCCCCGGCGUCUCGUUCGCGAGACGGGCCCGAAAGGCAGCGGCGGCGUCGACCCGAUGAGCCCGAGCGUAUGGGGACUUCUGUCACACGUUCGCGGUGCGGACCGGCGCCUGCUUGACUUUUCUGAUUAUCCAGGUUGACCUCGGAUCAGGUAGGGAUACCCGCUGAACUUAAGC